CCUACGGGAGGCAGCAGUGGGGAAUCUUGCACAAUGGGGGAAACCCUGAUGCAGCGACGCCGCGUGGAGGAAGAAGGUCUUUGGAUUGUAAACUCCUUUUCUCGGGGAAGAGUAGGGACGGUACCCGAGGAAUAAGUCACGGCUAACUACGUGCCAGCAGCCGCGGUAAUACGUAGGUGGCAAGCGUUAUCCGGAAUUACUGGGCGUAAAGCGCACGCAGGCGGUUUUUCAAGUUCGACGUGAAAGCUCCCGGCUCAACUGGGAGAGGUCGUUGAAAACUGAGGAACUUGAGGCAAGGAGAGGGGUGUAGAAUUCCCGGUGUAGUGGUGGAAUGCGUAGAUAUCGGGGGGAAUACCAGUGGCGAAAGCGGCACCCUAGCCUUAGCCUGACGCUCAGGUGCGAAAGCGUGGGGAGCGAACGGGAUUAGAUACCCUAGUAGU
This 440-nucleotide ribosomal RNA is filed under the name uncultured bacterium. Its description in RNAcentral is "bacterial SSU rRNA". It matches the Rfam family "Bacterial small subunit ribosomal RNA", at positions 338 to 794 of the family's 1533-position model. The record is from RNAcentral.